GGAUAUUAUCAUUAACUGAAUACAUAGGUUAAUGAGGCGAACCGGGAGAACUGAAACAUCUCAGUACCCCCGAGGAAAAGAAAUCAACCGAGAUUCCCCCUAGUAGCGGCGAGCGAACGGGGAGCAGCCCAGAGUCUUAAUCAAUAGCAGCAUCAGGAGAACGGUCUGGAAAGUCCGGCAGUAAAGGGUGAUAGCCCCCGUAUCCGAAGAUGCUGUUAUUGUGAACUCGACGAGUAGGGCGGGACACGUGUUAUCCUGUCUGAAUAUGGGGGGGACCAUCCUCCAAGGCUAAAUACUCCUGAUUGACCGAUAGUGAACCAGUACCGUGAGGGAAAGGCGAAAAAGAACCCCCGGCGAGGGGAGUGAAAAAAGAACCUGAAACCGUGUACGUACAAGCAGUAGGAGCCUCUUUAUGGGGUGACUGCGUACCUUUUGUAUAAUGGGUCA
Molecule: ribosomal RNA, 447 nt
Filed under: Shigella sp. FC1967
Lineage: Bacteria; Pseudomonadati; Pseudomonadota; Gammaproteobacteria; Enterobacterales; Enterobacteriaceae
Description: partial 23S ribosomal RNA
Rfam family: Bacterial large subunit ribosomal RNA
Source: RNAcentral